UUCCUAUGCUAGAGUCAGCCUCAAGUCUAUCAAAGUCCGGCAUGGUAUGACCUAUUUGAAACCAGGCACAACUAACAAACGAUUAAAAUGAGAUGAUGGAAAUAUGAAUUUUCCAACAAAAACUUUCUCUAAAAAUUAUCGUAUAGGAUUAAGGACACGAGGGAAUCAUAGUUAUUGCUCGGAGCAUUUUUGUUUGGUGAAUAUUGCUCUGAGCAUUUGUUAACAAGGUUAAUGCCAAUGGCAUGUAGCAGAAAGUUACUAUCCUCAACGAAUUUCCGACCCAUUCCAUUUUCAGUCCAAAACUCUCUUCGCUGCAUCCAAAAUGACACACCCUUUAAUCCCAAAGACUUAACGGGUUUAACAACGGAUCUCAUAAAGUCCUAUUUUGACAAAGGCUCGUUCGAAGAAGCGCACACACUGUUCGACGAAAUGCCUCACAGAGACGUUAUUGCCUGGACGUCCAUGAUCACCGGCUACACCUCCUGCAAUCAUCACAGCCGUGCUUGGAAUGUGUUUACUAAUAUGCUUAGAGAUGGGGUGAAGCCGAAUGCUUUCACUGUUUCUGCGGUUUUGAAGGCUUGUAAAAGUUUGAAAGCUCUUUUGUGUGGGAAAUUGGUUCAUGGGUUGGCGAUUAAGAUUGGUACGCAAGGUUCAUCAAUAUAUGUUGAUAAUGCACUUAUGGAUAUGUAUGCUACUUGUUGUGAUAGUAUGGAUAAUGCAAGAUUGGUUUUUGAGGAUAUUGGAACUAAAAAUGCUGUUUCUUGGACUACUUUGAUUACUGGGUAUACUCAUCGACGUGAUGCGUUUGGUGGUCUUCGUGUUUUUCGCCAAAUGUUUAUGGAGGAAGGAGAGUUGAGUCCCUUCAGCUUCUCAAUUGCUGUUAGUGCUUGUGCCUCAAUUGGGUCAAGUAACUUGGGUAAGCAGGUACAUGCUGCAGUAAUUAAUCAUGGAUUUGAGUCCAAUCUUCCUGUGAUGAACGCCAUACUGGACAUGUAUUGCAGGUGUCGUUGCGCAUCUGAGGCAAAACAAUUAUUCGGUGAAAUGACUCAGAAAGAUACGAUUACAUGGAAUACUUUGAUAGCUGGAUUUGAAACACUGGAUUCUUAUGAGUCUCUCUGCAUAUUUUCACAAAUGGUGUCAGAAGGUUUUAGUCCGAAUUGCUUCACAUUUACUAGUGUUAUAGCUGCAUGUGCAAACUUAGCAAUUCUGUAUUGUGGGCAACAGCUUCAUGGUGGAAUCAUUCAUAGAGGCCUGGAUAACAACUUGGAAUUAUCCAAUGCCCUUAUAGAUAUGUAUGCGAAGUGUGGAAAUGUAGCUGAUUCACAUAAAAUAUUUAGCGGAAUGCGGCACACAAAUUUGGUCUCAUGGACUUCCAUGAUGAUUGGGUACGGUGCUCAUGGACAUGGAAAAGAGGCUGUUGAUUUGUUCAAUGAGAUGGUUGGAUCAGGUAUUAAACCUGAUAAGAUAGUGUUUAUGGCAGUUCUCAGUGCUUGCAGUCACGCCGGACUAGUGGACGAAGGUCUGAGAUAUUUUAGGUUAAUGACCAGUUAUUAUAAUGUUGCACCGGAUCGAGAUAUAUAUGCAUGUGUGGUGGAUUUACUCAGUCGUGCAGGAAGGGUAAAAGAAGCUUAUGAACUAAUAGAGAAUAUGCCAUUUAAGCCUGAUGAGUCUAUAUGGGUAGCCCUUCUCGGAGCUUGUAAAAAAUAUAAACAACCAAGUAUACAGAAAUUAGCAGCUUUGAAGGUUUUGGAAAUGAAGCCAAAUAAGGCGGGAACUUACGUGCUCUUAUCAAAUUUUUCUGCUGCUGAAGGUAACUGGGCUGAUUUUGCCAGCUUGAGGAAACUGAUGAGAAGUACUAAAAGUAAGAAAGAGGUGGGGAGGAGCUGGAUUGAAUUGAAAAAUCAGGUUUGCAGUUUUAUUGUUGGAGAUAUAUUUGAUUCUUCAAAUAAGGAGGUGUGUGAAGUUCUAGAAUUGUUGAUUAGACAUAUGAAAGAUGCAGGAUAUGUACUUGAUUUAGAUUGCUCUGCACAUGACUUGGAAGAUGAGACUUGAAUAUAUGAAAGAUGCAGGAUAUGUACUUGAUUUAUAAAUGCUUGUUGCAGAUUCAUAAACCAAUACAAGCAUUCAUAUAUAACAUGACCUUGUGAACCUUUAAAAGCCUCUAUUCACAUACCAAUACAUGCACUCAUAUAUACAUAUGACUUGAAAGAUGGCACAGGGAGGAUUGUUCCAUCAAUACAAAUUCAACACACCAACCUGUGGCUGGACGGGAUGAGAUGUUCAACCCACCCUGUCUCGCCCCUUUUUCAACAGUUUGCUGGCAGGGUGAGGCGAGAUGGAGCAAUUCAAGGGCCUACAACAUGAGCAAGGCAAGGAGAUUCACUCUGGUUUCAUUAAAGGUACACAACCAAAACAAUGGUGUAUCGAUUCACAAAUGUCCUGUUGAUGGCGCCACAACUCAUUUCUAACACUGCCUCGACCACCAUCGUUUUUAGAGUGUCUUGUUCUAUAUGUUCUCUGCUAUGUGUUUUAUGUCACUGCUUUAACACCAUUCUCUAGCACUUCAACAAUAUGCAUUUGCUAACAAUUAAUUGGAUGAGUGACUAGCCUUCAUGCCUAGGUUUAGGCUCACCUAGUAUAGUUUAGUCUCUGAAAAAUUUGUUUGAAGUCUACUCUGUUUUUGUGAACAUGAUUAAUUCAGUGAUAGAAAACAAUAAAGAAUUUGUGGAUAAGUUGGAAUGAGGAGGAAAUGAAUUUAUUCGUUCUUUAUACAAAAUAAAAAAUCAUGUUU
Medicago truncatula (barrel medic) is the source of this 2791-nucleotide RNA transcript. It is a transcript of the gene named putative pentatricopeptide repeat-containing protein At1g56570, with no coding region annotated. NCBI's taxonomy places the organism in Eukaryota, Viridiplantae, Streptophyta, Magnoliopsida, Fabales, Fabaceae. The transcript has 3 exons. The record is from RefSeq and is a predicted model, not a curated record.